ACAUGCAAGUAGAACGCUGAAGAGAGGAGCUUGCUCUUCUUGGAUGAGUUGCGAACGGGUGAGUAACGCGUAGGUAACCUGCCUUGUAGCGGGGGAUAACUAUUGGAAACGAUAGCUAAUACCGCAUAACAAUGGAUGACCCAUGUCAUUUAUUUGAAAGGGGCAAAUGCUCCACUACAAGAUGGACCUGCGUUGUAUUAGCUAGUAGGUGAGGUAACGGCUCACCUAGGCGACGAUACAUAGCCGACCUGAGAGGGUGAUCGGCCACACUGGGACUGAGACACGGCCCAGACUCCUACGGGAGGCAGCAGUAGGGAAUCUUCGGCAAUGGGGGCAACCCUGACCGAGCAACGCCGCGUGAGUGAAGAAGGUUUUCGGAUCGUAAAGCUCUGUUGUAAGUCAAGAACGAGUGUGAGAGUGGAAAGUUCACACUGUGACGGUAGCUUACCAGAAAGGGACGGCUAACUACGUGCCAGCAGCCGCGGUAAUACGUAGGUCCCGAGCGUUGUCCGGAUUUAUUGGGCGUAAAGCGAGCGCAGGCGGUUUGAUAAGUCUGAAGUUAAAGGCUGUGGCUCAACCAUAGUUCGCUUUGGAAACUGUCAAACUUGAGUGCAGAAGGGGAGAGUGGAAUUCCAUGUGUAGCGGUGAAAUGCGUAGAUAUAUGGAGGAACACUCGGUGGCGAAAGCGGCUCUCUG
Molecule: ribosomal RNA, 696 nt
Filed under: uncultured Bacilli bacterium
Lineage: Bacteria; Bacillati; Bacillota; Bacilli
Description: bacterial SSU rRNA
Rfam family: Bacterial small subunit ribosomal RNA
Source: RNAcentral